GAUGAAGAACGCAGCGAAAUGCGAUACGUAAUGUGAAUUGCAGAAUUCAGUGAAUCAUCGAAUCUUUGAACGCAUAUUGCGCUCUCUGGUAUUCCGGAGAGCAUGCUUGUUUGAGUAUCAGUAAACACCUCAACUUCCAUAUCUUUUUUUGAAAUGGGAGUUGGACUUGAGUGAUCCCAACGCUUUUCCUCACCGAAAAGUGGCGGGUUACUUGAAAUGCAGGUGCAGCUGGACUUUUCUCUGAGCUAUAAGCAUAUCUAUUUAGUCUGCCUAAAAAACAGAUUAUUACCUUUGCUGCAGCUAACAUAAAGGAGAUUAGUUCUUGUGCUGACUGAUGCAGGAUUCACAAAGACAGCUUCGGCCGACUUUGUAAACUCGAUCUCAAAUCAAGUAAGACUACCCGCUGAACUUAAGCAUAUCAUAAGCGGAGGA
RNAcentral lists this unclassified non-coding RNA (432 nucleotides) under soil metagenome. RNAcentral's name for it is "partial contains 5.8S ribosomal RNA, internal transcribed spacer 2, and large subunit ribosomal RNA". The stretch from base 1 to 120 matches the Rfam family "5.8S ribosomal RNA", at positions 35 to 154 of the family's 154-position model. The record is from RNAcentral.